Molecule: ribosomal RNA, 612 nt
Filed under: uncultured bacterium
Lineage: Bacteria
Description: bacterial SSU rRNA
Rfam family: Bacterial small subunit ribosomal RNA
Source: RNAcentral
UUCUUAGUGGCGAACGGGUGAGUAACGCGUGGGCAACCUGCCCUCUAGAUGGGGACAACAUCCCGAAAGGGGUGCUAAUACCGAAUGUGACAGCAAUCUCGCAUGAGGAUGCUGUGAAAGAUGGCCUCUAUUUAUAAGCUAUCGCUAGAGGAUGGGCUUGCGUCUGAUUAGCUAGUUGGUGGGGUAACGGCCUACCAAGGCGAUGAUCAGUAGCCGGUCUGAGAGGAUGAACGGCCACAUUGGGACUGAGACACGGCCCAGACUCCUACGGGAGGCAGCAGUGGGGAAUCUUCCGCAAUGGGCGAAAGCCUGACGGAGCAAUGCCGCGUGAGUGAUGAAGGAAUUCGUUCCGUAAAGCUCUUUUGUUUAUGACGAAUGUGCAGGUUGUGAAUAAUGACUUGUAAUGACGGUAGUAAACGAAUAAGCCACGGCUAACUACGUGCCAGCAGCCGCGGUAAUACGUAGGUGGCGAGCGUUGUCCGGAAUUAUUGGGCGUAAAGAGCAUGUAGGCGGUUUUUUAAGUCUGGAGUGAAAAUGCGGGGCUCAACCCCGUAUGGCUCUGGAUACUGGAAGACUUGAGUGCAGGAGAGGAAAGGGGAAUUCCCAGUGUAG